CGGGGGGAGCAAGCGUUGUUCGGAUUUACUGGGCGUAAAGGGCGCGUAGGCGGCCACCGCAAGUCGACUGUGAAAUCUCCGGGCUUAACCCGGAAAGGUCAGCCGAUACUGCGGGGCUAGAGUGCAGAAGGGGCAACUGGAAUUCUCGGUGUAGCGGUGAAAUGCGUAGAUAUCGAGAGGAACACCUGCGGCGAAGGCGGGUUGCUGGGCUGACACUGACGCUGAUGCGCGAAAGCUAGGGGAGCGAACGGGAUUAGAUACCCCGGUAGUCCUAGCCUUAAACGAUGAAUGCUUGGUGCCUGGGGUUUUAUAGUCCCCGGGUGCCGUCGCUAACGCUUUAAGCAUUCCGCCUGGGGAGUACGGUCGCAAGACUG
Molecule: ribosomal RNA, 374 nt
Filed under: uncultured organism
Description: bacterial SSU rRNA
Rfam family: Bacterial small subunit ribosomal RNA
Source: RNAcentral